GUCUCAGUUCGGAUUGGAGUCUGNAACCCGACUACAUGAAGCUGGAAUCGCUAGUAAUCGCGGAUCAGAAUGCCGCGGUGAAUACGUUCCCGGGUCUUGUACACACCGCCCGUCACACCAUGGGAGUCGGAAAUGCCCGAAGUCAGUGACCCAACCGGAAGGAAGGAGCUGCCGAAGGUGGAGCCGGUAACUGGGGUGAAGUCGUAACAAGGUAGC
Molecule: ribosomal RNA, 216 nt
Filed under: uncultured bacterium
Lineage: Bacteria
Description: partial 16S ribosomal RNA
Rfam family: Bacterial small subunit ribosomal RNA
Source: RNAcentral